This is a long non-coding RNA of Anopheles gambiae (African malaria mosquito), 1193 nucleotides long. RefSeq lists it as uncharacterized. The transcript is spliced from 2 exons. The record is from RefSeq and is a predicted model, not a curated record. Lineage: Eukaryota; Metazoa; Arthropoda; Insecta; Diptera; Culicidae.
AACGAGCCACGCAACGCUAAUCGACGAGAGGCAACGAUGCGAUGACGAGAGAAGCUUCAAGCCAGACUUCCUCCAACCCCACCAGCAUCACUGCAGAUUGCGGCUGGUCACGGCGCGCUUCAGCAGCAACAGGCAGGGUUCAGGGAGAUGAUACCCGCUUGGCAAAGAGUAACUCAUUUUGAUGCCUCUCGCUACCCCUGGCCUUAGUUUUAAAGGAAUCAUGCGACACACUCGCACUCCACUACCCCAUCCCAUGGAAAAACGCUCCCACCAUCGAGGUGUUGACCAAAAUUUCGCUAUGUGCAUGAGACACACACUCGCACUCUUCCAGCCCUCCACAGCUGAACGCUCCCACCGUUGCGAAGUUUGCGAGAAUUUUUGCUCUGAGCGUGAGAUCCUGAAGCACCAGAGAUGACACUAUGUGUAAAGACGAUCAUAAUUCGGUAUGGUCAAAAUGCGUCGAUUGUCGUUUCAUUUAUCUGGUAAUGAUGUAUUCACUUCAUCAAAAUUUUAAACGUUCACAACUAGACUGAUAACAAUAUUUGAAUUUUUAAUCAGAAUAAAACCAAUUCAUUUGAAGCAAAAUAAAUUCCAUUAUACUUUAUUUUGACCAUAUGAUCAACACUUGUACAUAGUGCCAUUUACUUUGUGUUCUUCACUCUCGCGCUGUGUUUUGAUCGUUCGAAACUCAUUGCCAGAACGAAUGCAAAUUUCAUAUGGGAAUGAUCGGUGCCGGUAGAUGCAGCGAAAAUUAUGAAAUGAUAAUAGAAAAGUGGUUAAGUUAAUUGUGAAAGAUGUCAACGCAGACGUAAAUGUAGUAUGUUUUGUUACAUGAUCUACGGGUAAGUGCAUGCAUAAGAAGAAGAAUCUUCCAAAUGAUGUUUGUGUUCAAACAAUCGUACUGCUUUCAAUGUUUGUUUAUUUUUCUAUUAUUUUCCAUCACACCUAGCUAUUUCAUUACCAAAGCUCCUGAUAACAGAUCAAAGCAGAUGGAUCGGGCAUACAGAGUCGCCGUUUAAUUUAAAAUAUCUGCGUGAUCGCAAACGCAUCAAACAGCAAGUGUUUUUCCUUCCAACAGCACGCACCAUCGGUGGUGCAGCAGCUAACGUUUUGUUCGCCUAGCGCGCACUAUCAAGAAUUGAUAUUUUGCCAAACAGUACUGUGAAUAAAAAACUGCACACUUACUGUAGGAA